UUCCUUCCUCUCGCCGCACAGGGCCGCUCUCCCCGGGCAGCUCGGGCAGGGCCGGGGGAGGCCCCCUCCUGCGCCCCUCCCUGCCCCAGCCCGCAGGUGGGAGACCCGGCUGCCGUCUAGAGCUCGGCUGGGGCGCGCCACCCGCGCCCAGGUCCCUGCUCCCCGUCCCUGCGCUCCUGCAGGAGUCCCCUGCUGCACCUCAAAGGCCCUUCCCUCCAGCGGGGGCUCUGCCCUUCCUCCCCCGCCCACACGUGUCCUCGCUGGGGAGGCCGGCGACGCCGGGUGAUGCCCGCGCUUGGUGGAUGCGCCAAGGGCAACCGAGCUCUCUUGUCCUCAGCCCGGGUGGGAGAGCUCUGCCUGCGCCAUCCAGAAAAGUGCCUGCAGAGAAGGGGCCUUUUUCUGUUUCUGCAAGUUGUCCUUUGGCCUCUUCAGGAACCUCUAACCACAAGGCCGCUGGCACUACUGCUGUCCAGAAUCCAGCUUCGCCCAGCGGAACUGCUGCGGUAGUGGGAACGUGCUAUAUCCGAGCUGCCUAGUGCAGUGCCCGCUAGCUACAUGUGACUGUCCAGCACCGGGAAUGUGGCCACUGUGACACUUGAUUCUAGUGUUAAAAGCUCUAUGUGGCUAUCAUAUUGGACGGCUCAGGGAGGUGAUGGAGAAACCUGCCUAUUCCAGACCAUGGAGCCCCAGGAUGUCAAGCUGGAAAGGACACUCACUGACCCCAACUCUGUCUUUUCUGCAGUGAGGAAAUAAAGCCAGGCUGACAAGAGAGCUUACAGAAUAAGGGCAGGGGUGAACCACUACCGUGAAGAGGGACAGCGUCUGUGGCUUCAGGGCGGUGCUGCGUCUCAUUCCCCAGCGUAUACACUCCAUGCCAUAGUAGGUGGAGCAAGAGUGGGAGAAGACUUCAGCCUGUCCCAUCACACUAUCACAGCAUGAGCCCUGGUCCUGCAGGGACUAGAGGGAGCAUGGAUCUGGCUGUGUGUGUAAACAACCAACUCCAGCUGAGCGGGGAUCAGUGGCAUCAUCCGUGUAUGUAGGAACCUGUGUGUGCAGGAACCAGUCUUGCUGAUGCUCACGUAGUGGAAAUUCCCUUGGUAAUACUGGGGGUCGCUGCCUCCCAAGACGACCUCUCCUCCGAGCAAGUGAGAAUUCCUAAAGGGAAGAUCAGAGCUCCUGAAGACCCAUAACCUCUAACUUCAAGACCUAGCAACAAAGGAAGCUGGGCCAGGGUACAGGGGAGACGGGAAGGAUGGCAAGACUGGGAAGCGGCAAGAACACCACUUGUCCACCUUUCUUGCCCCUCCCCAAGACAGACCAGAGGAGGUUCAGCUGCACCCAAUAAAGCAUCCCCACAGAGAAGGAACCGGCACAAGCAGAGAGCAAGAUGAGAGUUGGCCCCGCCCUCGCUUGGGUUUGGGGAGCUGCAGGUUGAGCAGAUCCGUAGCGGAUGGUGAAUGUCGUCCCGUUCUCCAUGUAGCUGGAGGAUUCCGAGGAGUCAUAGAGGCAGUGAAUCUCUGGCAGAGGGACAUAGGCUCAGGACUGUGUUCCUUGGGCUCCUGUCAUGUGCCCAUAUCUGUGAGAACGGUCUCGAAUGAAGCAUGUCACAGAAGUUUCGAAUGCAGGGAUGAGGAAAAGAUUCUGGUCCCAGCAAGCACUCAGCAAGAGGUUACUGGCUGAGGAAAGGGGUAGAAGACGCCCAGGGCCUGUGGUUUCGGCGGGGCCUGGGUGGAAGGCUUAGCACCGCCUUAGUCUUAUGACUUCUCAGGAAGUGAGACAAGAGGGCAAAAUAAAUCUGCUGAAAAUGAAGCAGGAAGGCGCCCCACCUCUCGAGGGGCUGCUGAGGCCAUCAGCAGUCCUGCUGUGCGGAGCCCGGUCACAGAAGCCAGCCCCUGCGGUCACGUUCCGGUCCUGCCCACCAGGUCACCUGCACUCGAGGCCCAGAGCCUAGAUUCUGGGGUUCCCAGCCUAACUCUGCCUCUGGGCUCCAUUCUGCCCUCCAUGCCUCAGCCUUCCUAGCGCUGCAAUGGGCAUGUCACGGGCUGCCAGAUACCUCAGCAACCCCGUCAGAGACCGCGCGGAAAGAGCCAAGAAAGCCCUGGGCCCAGAGAGCAAGGAGAUGGAGCAGCAAGGCCCCAGCCGGGCACUCACAUCCAGGUAGUUGGUGAGGACCACAGGGGAGGUGCUGUUGCCAGAGGAGAGUCUCUUGGUGAACUGGUUCCACUCAGCCCCAAGCCCGGCCACAUCCACGCCUCGCUCCUUCAGGCUUUCCCGGAUGGAGGGCAUUUUCUUGAGGAAGAUCCUGGCCCAGGGCGGAGGAGGGAAAACCCAGAAGAGCUCUGUACUCCCCCACAAUAAUGGUGGAGGCCCCGAAGCUUCUAGUACGACUCUCUCUGCCCUCGCCCAGACACCUACAAAUUGCUCCUUGUGCUUUCGGGCCUCUCAGAGAGAAUUUGCAAGUCCCCUUGAUUAAAUAAUCCUCAACACUGUCUGAUUCUGACCACGAGCUCUACAAAGCCAUUUGCUCUCUCAUUCCUCGUUCCAUAGCUACACGUUGAGCCCUGCUCCAGGCCUGCCCUGCACGAGGUACUAGAGACGGACGGAUCAGGACUCCCGCUGCCUUCAAGGAGCGCCAGCAGGCCAGGAGCCUGAGGAGGAAGAGGAGAAAGCUACGAUGGUCAUCGAUGGCCGAUGGCCGAUGGCCGAUGACCGCCCCGAGAGAGACGGUGGCUGGCCUGCUCCCCUCAAGGGGGCCGAGGAGCCAGUGCUGUGGGCGGCCUAUGCUGGUCUACCUCUACUGUCCUUUCCUGCUCACACCCGGCACUCCCGGACCCCCUCAUGCCCACGGGCCAAAAUGCAGCUUUCCUGCCAGCCAGCGCCACAUCUUAAUGGAAAUGACUUGUCACAGUCAUGUCACCAUUUACUGUUCACAAAGCAGUUUCACGGUUAUGAUCUUAUUCUCAGCCAUCCCACAGGGUGGGUGAUUCUUCCCAUUUUACAGAUGGGAAAAAUGGAGGAACAGAGAAGGCCUGAUCCCAAGGAGGGUGCAUUUUCUACCAUCUACCCUGAACAGCCUCUGCUCUGGACCUUUACUUUUCCCAUUCUCCUUUCAGAAAGUUCCUUCCCCUCCACUCCCCACCUUUGCUUGGGCUCCUGCUUCAUUUUUCCUGGGGCACUCACAGCCAGCGCUGCACAGCCUAACGUUCGUGGCGGCGGUGUUGUCUGGUGGUGAGGAUACAGUAGUUGUGAGCGGAUGCUGAAACCCCUAUUACUGUGUGAUUCUGAUCAGCUUACCGAACCCCUCUGGGCCUUUUGUGAGCCCCCACCCCCAUUAACUCCUCUAUAAAAAGGGAUGAAACAUGGGCACCUGGGGGGCUCAGUGGUUGAGCAUCUGCCUUCAGCUCAGGGCAUGACCCCGGGGUCCUGGAUCGAGUCCUACAUUGGGCUCCCCGCAGGGAGCCUGCUUCUCCCUCUGCCUGUGUCUCUGCCUCUUUCAUGAAUAAAUAAA
Molecule: long non-coding RNA, 3508 nt
Organism: Canis lupus familiaris (dog)
Lineage: Eukaryota; Metazoa; Chordata; Mammalia; Carnivora; Canidae
Exons: 8
Source: RefSeq, a predicted model, not a curated record